This 373-nucleotide long non-coding RNA is filed under the name Helianthus annuus (common sunflower). RNAcentral's name for it is "hypothetical non coding rna". The record is from RNAcentral. Lineage: Eukaryota; Viridiplantae; Streptophyta; Magnoliopsida; Asterales; Asteraceae.
UUGGCUUUGAAAGUAGCAGGAAUAUCCUGAAGAACAGAAGCUUCGUUGUAGCUGGUCUCAUACUGUAAGCGCACAUGGCCUUUGAUCUCUUUACUUAUCUGCUUCCCAAGAUCAUGUUUAUUCAUAUAUUUUAUAAUAUCCGUCAUUUUAUCCCUGAACCUUUCUGUUCUUGAUCCUUUCACAAUUAGUGCUGCCAUAUUACCUAGUAAAUAAGCACCAAGAAUCAUAUCACCCGAAAUAUACAUGAUUAUGAAUAUCAUUUCCCUGUUGUUCACAGCAUGUAUAUCUCCGCUGACCAACAGUUGCCAUGGUGACAAUGGCGAAAUAUAGAGAAGUUAUAUAGCGUGUCCACAAGUCGAUAUCUCGAAAUUCG